This 243-nucleotide long non-coding RNA is filed under the name Prunus dulcis (almond). RNAcentral's name for it is "sRNA ncRNA". Lineage: Eukaryota; Viridiplantae; Streptophyta; Magnoliopsida; Rosales; Rosaceae. The record is from RNAcentral.
AUGGCAAGCCUGAAUUUCUACUUCUGCCUUGCCUUGGUUUUCCUCAUUGUUUCUAGGUCAGAAAGUCGUCCCCUCGACACCAAUCUAGAGAGGAAGAAUAUGACUAGCAUAUUAUUGAGACUAUUGUUUCAAAGAUCAAAAGAACACAAGCUAAGGUUUCAAGAAGAUGAUGCAGUGGUUGUUGGAAGCCCUUACCACACAAUGCGACGAAGUCCUGGAGGACCCGACCCUGCUCAUCACUGA